Long non-coding RNA from Mercurialis annua (annual mercury), 446 nucleotides. RefSeq lists it as uncharacterized. The record is from RefSeq and is a predicted model, not a curated record. Lineage: Eukaryota; Viridiplantae; Streptophyta; Magnoliopsida; Malpighiales; Euphorbiaceae. The transcript has 2 exons.
GGACGAUUUUGUCCAGGCAGGUGACUUUCUCAAGUUUCACAAACGCAUGAUGUAAUCCUAUAAGAUUGCAAGUAGUUCCAUUGUUUGAAACUAUGAAAGAUAUGUGAGGGGCUCGUUCAGUGAAUUGCAAGUAUUUCCAUUGUUUGAAACUAUGAAAGAUAUGUGAGGGGCUCGUUCAGUGAAUUGCAAGUAGUUCCAUUGUUUGAAACUAUGAAAGAUAUAUGAGGGGCUCGUUCAAUGAUUGGAAAAGUGUUAUCAAUUGAUUGGUAUCGGCUAGAAUCAUGAAGGAAAAAUCAUCAAGGUUGGCGGCUGUGGUACAUCGUCAAUGGCUCCUAUGUAUUAGUAGUAUUUUUUUAAUCUUUGUACGAUGUUUCCCUGUAUUAGUAGUUUAUUAUUUGUCUAUAUUUUAAUCAGUACUUACAAUGUGUUUAUGUAUUUAGAAAUAA